UACGGAGGGUGCGAACGUUAAUCGGAAUCACUGGGCGUAAAGCGCGCGUAGGCGGUCUGUUAAGUGGGAUGUGAAAUCCCCGGGCCUAACCUGGGAAUUGCAUUUCAAACUGGCCGACUAGAGUACGGUAGAGGGAGGUAGAAUUUCCUGUGUAGCGGUGAAAUGCGUAGAUAUAGGAAGGAAUACCAGUGGCGAAGGCGGCCUCCUGGAUCGAUACUGACGCUGAGGCGCGAAAGCGUGGGGAGCAAACAGG
Molecule: ribosomal RNA, 253 nt
Filed under: uncultured bacterium
Lineage: Bacteria
Description: partial 16S ribosomal RNA
Rfam family: Bacterial small subunit ribosomal RNA
Source: RNAcentral